GAUGAACGCUGGCGGCGUGCCUAAUACAUGCAAGUCGAACGAGGUGCUUGAGUAGCAAUACAAGAGUAUCCUAGUGGCGAACGGGUGAGUAACGCGUGGGUGACCUGCCCCAAAGUGUGGGAUAACAGUCCGAAAGGAUUGCUAAUACCUCAUGUGGUCUUCGGGUUUAGAAACCGAUGACUAAAGCAGUAAUGCGCUUUGGGAGGGACCUGCGUCCCAUCAGCUAGNGGUGAGGUAAUGGCUCACCAAGGCUACGACGGGUA
Molecule: ribosomal RNA, 263 nt
Filed under: uncultured bacterium
Lineage: Bacteria
Description: partial 16S ribosomal RNA
Rfam family: Bacterial small subunit ribosomal RNA
Source: RNAcentral